Molecule: microRNA precursor, 105 nt
Filed under: Callithrix jacchus (white-tufted-ear marmoset)
Lineage: Eukaryota; Metazoa; Chordata; Mammalia; Primates; Cebidae
Also listed under: 3 other names
Description: mir-544 microRNA precursor family
Rfam family: mir-544 microRNA precursor family
Source: Rfam by way of RNAcentral
AUCACCUAUGGAUGUUGUUAAAAUUCAGAUUCAGAUUCAGUGUGAGGUGAUUCAGUGUGAGGGCCUGAGAUUUUGCAUUUCUAACAAGCUCUCAGGUGAUGCUGA